Molecule: ribosomal RNA, 496 nt
Filed under: uncultured bacterium
Lineage: Bacteria
Description: partial 16S ribosomal RNA
Rfam family: Bacterial small subunit ribosomal RNA
Source: RNAcentral
GAUGAACGCUGGCGGCGUGCCUAAUACAUGCAAGUCGAGCGAACAGACGAGGAGCUUGCUCCUCUGACGUUAGCGGCGGACGGGUGAGUAACACGUGGAUAACCUACCUAUAAGACUGGGAUAACUUCGGGAAACCGGAGCUAAUACCGGAUAAUAUAUUGAACCGCAUGGUUCAAUAGUGAAAGACGGUUUUGCUGUCACUUAUAGAUGGAUCCGCGCCGCAUUAGCUAGUUGGUAAGGUAACGGCUUACCAAGGCAACGAUGCGUAGCCGACCUGAGAGGGUGAUCGGCCACACUGGAACUGAGACACGGUCCAGACUCCGACGGGAGGCAGCAGUAGGGAAUCUUCCGCAAUGGGCGAAAGCCUGACGGAGCAACGCCGCGUGAGUGAUGAAGGUCUUCGGAUCGUAAAACGCUGUUAUUAGGGAAGAACAAAUGUGUAAGUAACUAUGCACGUCUUGACGGUACCGAAUCAGAAAGCCACGGCUAACUACGU